Acinonyx jubatus (cheetah) is the source of this 606-nucleotide long non-coding RNA. RefSeq lists it as uncharacterized. The transcript has 3 exons. NCBI's taxonomy places the organism in Eukaryota, Metazoa, Chordata, Mammalia, Carnivora, Felidae. The record is from RefSeq and is a predicted model, not a curated record.
GACACUCUGAAGUAUGUGCUACCCAAUCCUAACCAGGGAAAAGAGGAUGUUUUGAUUAGUUUAUUGAAUUAAAUCCCCGUAUAGCUCCUCCACUCUAUGGAGGUGACAGAGUGCCUGUCCCUCCCCAGCAGCCCUAGUCCUAAAAACUUGAGCCCCAACAAGGCCCUGCACCAGUACCUUCUACCUCGGGGGGCCAAGCGGUAGGAAUGGUCUUUUCUUCUCAUUCCCUACAGGGUGCUCAAUUUGAUCAGCGAGCCACUCAUUCCUAAGGAGGGCAAUAUACGCUAAGCAGAAACCAAGUGCAACAAAGAAAAGAUCACUGAAAAGUGAAACAGCAGGCUAUUUUGUUAGCUGUUGCCCUAAUUCAAGGGAAUCCAAGACCAGGGUCACUACAAGGAUGAGAUCAACCCAAGGUUGAUAUACCCUACAGAUGUGCUCUUGCACCACUAAAUCCCAGAGACUUGGUGUUAUUGAAGAUUGGGAAGAACAGGCACCCAGAAGAGCAACUAUAACCUCCUUGAACAGGACAUUUUGAGGUGUCAUUGACUACCUAUUCAGUAAAACUCAAGAGUAUUAAGCCAUGGAUUCACCACACCCAAGGUAAGC